This 253-nucleotide ribosomal RNA is filed under the name uncultured bacterium. Its description in RNAcentral is "partial 16S ribosomal RNA". It matches the Rfam family "Bacterial small subunit ribosomal RNA", at positions 524 to 776 of the family's 1533-position model. The record is from RNAcentral.
UACGUAGGGUGCAAGCGUUGUCCGGAAUUAUUGGGCGUAAAGAGCUCGUAGGCGGUUUGUCGCGUCUGCUGUGAAAACUCGGGGCUUAACUCCGGGCCUGCAGUGGGUACGGGCAGACUAGAGUGCGGUAGGGGAGACUGGAAUUCUCGGUGUAGCGGUGAAAUGCGUAGAUAUCGAGAGGAACACCUGCGGCGAAGGCGGGUUGCUGGGCUGACACUGACGCUGAUGCGCGAAAGCUAGGGGAGCGAACGGG